Molecule: long non-coding RNA, 414 nt
Organism: Eupeodes corollae
Lineage: Eukaryota; Metazoa; Arthropoda; Insecta; Diptera; Syrphidae
Exons: 3
Source: RefSeq, a predicted model, not a curated record
AGAGAACCGGAGAGAAACGUCAAACGAAAUGACGUCUUGUCUGUCAUUUAUGCGUGGAGGGCAAACAAGAAAAACUUUGCAUUUAUUUCUUUAAAGAAGUGACAAAUAUAAAACGUACUGUGUAAUAAUAAUCAAAAGUUAUCAUUUAUUAAAGUAAAAAAUGCCUUCAACGUGCUGCGUUAUUGGUUGUUCCAAAAGAGCAGAACGGGAUCACACUUUCAGUUUUUUUCGCUUCCCGGCCGUCCACAAAAAACCAACCGAGAUUGAAAUCUCUAAAGCAAGGAGAACAGCAUGGCUAAAUGCCAUUAAAAGAAAGGAUUUAAAAGAGAGCUCACUAAAGUACACAAGAAUAUGUUCUCAACAUUUUAUUACAAGUCGUCCAGCUAAGCUUAAAGACAAGCUACAUCCAAAUUG